This 606-nucleotide ribosomal RNA is filed under the name uncultured bacterium. RNAcentral describes it as "bacterial SSU rRNA". It matches the Rfam family "Bacterial small subunit ribosomal RNA", at positions 77 to 680 of the family's 1533-position model. The record is from RNAcentral.
UAACCCAAAGUUAGGUUAGUGGCGAACGGGUGAGGAAUACAUGGACAACGUACCCCGGACACGGGAAUAGCGGCGUCCGCCUUCGGGCGGACUUUAGCGAAAGUGCCGGUAAUGCCCGAUGAUCCCGUUGGAUCGCAUGAUCCGACGGGCAAGGCUCCGACGGUCUGGGAUCGGUUCAUGUCCUAUCAGCUUGUUGGUGGGGUAACGGCCUACCAAGGCGGCGACGGGUAGCGGGCGUGAGAGCGUGGCCCGCCACAUCGGGACUGAGACACGGCCCGGACACCUACGGGUGGCUGCAGCAACGAAUAUUCCGCAAUGGACGCAAGUCUGACGGAGCGACGCCGCGUGCAGGAAGAAGUCCUUCGGGAUGUAAACUGCUGUCAGGGGUGAGGAACAAUGACCAGCCCCAGAGGAAGCACUGGCUAACUCCGUGCCAGCAGCCGCGGUAAUACGGAGAGUGCAAGCGUUGUUCGGAAUUACUGGGCUUAAAGCGCGUGUAGGCGGGAUGUCAGGUGUCGCGUGAAAGCCCCGGGCUCAACCCGGGAAUGGCGCGGCAAACCGGCAUUCUUGAGGCAGGUAGAGGUGACUGGAACGACUGGUGGAGCG